UACGGAGGGUGCAAGCGUUAUCCGGAUUCACUGGGUUUAAAGGGUGCGUAGGUGGGCAGGUAAGUCAGUGGUGAAAUCUCCGGGCUUAACUCGGAAACUGCCAUUGAUACUAUCUUUCUUGAAUACCGUGGAGGUCAGCGGAAUAUGUCAUGUAGCGGUGAAAUGCUUAGAUAUCAGGAGGAAUACCGGUGGCGAAAGCGACUCUCUGGACGGCAACUGACGCUGAGGCACGAAAGCGUGGGGAGCGAACGGG
Molecule: ribosomal RNA, 253 nt
Filed under: uncultured bacterium
Lineage: Bacteria
Description: partial 16S ribosomal RNA
Rfam family: Bacterial small subunit ribosomal RNA
Source: RNAcentral